UGAAAUCUGCAGGUAUAGAGAGUGGAGCAGUGUUCUUCACUUGCAUUCCACCUGGUCCUGGGCUCAGUGGCUCCACAAAGACAAGCAGAUUUGUACACGAGUAUUACAAACACUCCUCAGUGGCUACGAAAAAACACUCUAAAGAAGGGACCUACUUUACUCAGUUGCUGAGAGCCACAGGGAUGGACUCGGGAGAACUGUGGCUGAAAACUGCUCUCUGACCAUCCUGGGGUGACUUCGUUAUUGAAGCAAUGACUUUGGUGCUGUGAGCUCAGAAGAUGAUGUGAAAGCCUGGCUUUGGCAAGCAAGACAGCUUGACUUGUAUCUUGGUAAAGCAGGACCCUCUUAAAUCUUUCUGCCUUUGCCCAAGGGUUCAGGUUUAUGUGUGUACUGCAUUAAUUAAAAGCUGGUUGGGAAACAAGACGGACAUGGUGCAACAUCGUUGCUUGUAUCACACUUUAUGCCAUGUGAGAGCUGAUCCAUGUUCUCAAAGAGGUGACAACAAUCUAUUGGCAAAACCAAGAUGGGAAGGGACAAAUAAAGGUGCAGAAAUGGUGUUUCCAGUGUAAGGAAGAGGCAGCAUCUCUUGAUCUCUGAAUGUAGCGAGUAUUC
Molecule: long non-coding RNA, 612 nt
Organism: Neopelma chrysocephalum (saffron-crested tyrant-manakin)
Lineage: Eukaryota; Metazoa; Chordata; Aves; Passeriformes; Pipridae
Exons: 4
Source: RefSeq, a predicted model, not a curated record